UUUGAAAUCUGGCGUCUUUGGCGUCCGAGUUGUAAUUUGAAGAAGGUAUCUUUGGGCCCGGCUCUUGUCUAUGUUCCUUGGAACAGGACGUCACAGAGGGUGAGAAUCCCGUGCGAUGAGAUGACCCGGGUCUGUGUAAAGUUCCUUCGACGAGUCGAGUUGUUUGGGAAUGCAGCUCUAAGUGGGUGGUAAAUUCCAUCUAAAGCUAAAUAUUGGCGAGAGACCGAUAGCGAACAAGUACAGUGAUGGAAAGAUGAAAAGAACUUUGAAAAGAGAGUGAAAAAGUACGUGAAAUUGUUGAAAGGGAAGGGCUUGAGAUCAGACUUGGUAUUUUGCAUGCUGCUCUCUCGGGGGCGGCCGCUGCGGUUUACCGGGCCAGCAUCGGUUUGGAGCGGCAGGAUAAUGGCGGAGGAAUGUGGCACGGCUUCUGCUGUGUGUUAUAGCCUCUGACGAUACUGCCAGCCUAGACCGAGGACUGCGGUUUUUACCUAGGAUGUUGGCAUAAUGAUCUUAAGUCGCCCGUCUU
RNAcentral lists this ribosomal RNA (526 nucleotides) under Candida albicans. RNAcentral describes it as "LSU rRNA". It matches the Rfam family "Eukaryotic large subunit ribosomal RNA", at positions 114 to 655 of the family's 3401-position model. Lineage: Eukaryota; Fungi; Ascomycota; Pichiomycetes; Serinales; Debaryomycetaceae. The record is from RNAcentral.